AUACUGGUAAUUGGGGCUAAGUCGUAACAAGGUAGCCGUACCGGAAGGUGCGGCUGGAAUACCUCCUUUCUGGAGC
RNAcentral lists this ribosomal RNA (76 nucleotides) under Sphingobacterium arenae. RNAcentral's name for it is "partial 16S ribosomal RNA". It matches the Rfam family "Bacterial small subunit ribosomal RNA", at positions 1465 to 1533 of the family's 1533-position model. Lineage: Bacteria; Pseudomonadati; Bacteroidota; Sphingobacteriia; Sphingobacteriales; Sphingobacteriaceae. The record is from RNAcentral.